RNAcentral lists this ribosomal RNA (503 nucleotides) under uncultured bacterium. Its description in RNAcentral is "bacterial SSU rRNA". It matches the Rfam family "Bacterial small subunit ribosomal RNA", at positions 24 to 518 of the family's 1533-position model. The record is from RNAcentral.
UCAGAACGAACGCUGGCGGCGCGUUUAAGCAUGCAAGUCGAGCGGCAGGGGCCUUCGGGCCCUAGAGCGGCGGACGGGUGAGUAACACGUGGACAAUCUGCCCCCCGGCCCAGGAUAGCCCAGGGAAACCUGGAUUAAUACCGGAUGAGACGGGACCUGCGAUGGCGGGAUCUGGGAAAGGCGCUACGGCGCCGCCGGGGGAUGAGUCUGCGUCCCAUUAGCUAGACGGCGGGGUAACGGGCCCACCGUGGCGACGAUGGGUAGCCGGCCUGAGAGGGUGGACGGCCACAUUGGAACUGAGACACGGUCCAGACUCCCACGGGAGGCAGCAGCUAAGAAUCUUCCGCAAUGGGCGAAGCCUGACGGAGCGACGCCGCGUGAACGAAGGAAGGCCGUGAGGUUGUAAAGUUCUUUUCGGGAGGGGGAACAACCGUGGCAGGGAAUGGCCGCGGGAUGACGUGAAUCCCGGAAUAAGCCCCGGCUAACUACGUGCCAGCCGCCGC